UUUUUAAAUAUAUAAUUUAGUUUUUAAUGAAUAUUUAAAUUUAUAAUUUAUAUUUAUUAGGUUCUUUUAAGUUCGAUAAAAAUUUGAAUAAGUUCAUGAGUCAUGAAUAUAUUCGUUAAAUAAAGUUCGGCUCAAUUAUAAACAAAUUAAAUUCAUAAAUUCGUCUAAAUUCGAUUACACCUCAAAAUAUAUGAUUUUGUAAUCUCCCUCUUUCUGUUUAUAUAUUUAAAAAUUCCAAACCUUUCAUAAUUAUUUGUUUGGGGAGCGUGCAGCUCGAGUUGCUAUUUGUGAAUUAAUGGAAUAAAAAAGUAUGCAGAUCAGGUGGAAAUCAGCGCCCAUGAUCCAUCCACCACAAUACCAAAUGCAUGCGACAAUUUAAACCACGUUUGCUUCGUCACCGGAGCAGACGAUAGAUGCCCAUGGCUUUUGACACAAUGCAGUCGUCCAAGCACGUCUGUGUCGUUGGCGCUGGGGCCUCCGGCCUCGUCUCCGCCCGUGAGCUCCUCAGGGAAGGCCACUCCGUCGUCGUGCUGGAGCAGAACCACGACCUCGGCGGCCAGUGGCUCUACCAAGACGUCGGCGCCGCCAAGGCCACAGUCCACAGCAGCGUCUAUGCCUCCCUGCGCCUCAAUGGGCCCAGAAUCUCCAUGGACUUCACCGACUUCAUGUUCACUCCCGUCGAAGGAAGAGACGCCAGGAACUUCCCCGGCCACCGCGAGCUCUUCCUCUACCUCAAAGACUUCGCCCGGUGUUUCGAGUUAACCGAACUCAUCAGGUUCAACUCAGAAGCAGUCCACGUCGGCACGGCGGCAGCAACUGGCAAAUGGAUUGUGAGAUCAAGGGACAGGAGAACUGAUGACGGUGAGUUAGUGGAAGAGAUCUUUGAUGCGGUUGUCGUCGCCACUGGCCAUUUCUCCCUGCCUAAGCUCCCAAAAAUCAAGGGAAUGGAGGAGUGGAAGAGGAAGCAGCUUCACUGCCAUGUCUACAGAAUCCCAGAUCCCUUCCAAGACGAGGUGGUAGUGGUCGUUGGUGGUUCAAUCAGUGGACCAGAGAUUGCUCUGGAGCUUGUUCAUGUAGCCAAAGAAGUCCAUAUAAGUACUAAACAUGACGAAAUCCCUGAGAAAUUAGUGAAGCCUGUUUCCAAGUAUGCACAUCUGCACUGGCACCAAGAGAUCGAGUUGCUUUGUGAAGACGGAACUGUUGUGUUUGCUGAUGGUUCAAGUGUAGUUGCCGAUAGUAUUCUCUACUGUACUGGGUAUUCAUAUUCAUUCCCUUUCCUGGACACUGAAGGAAUCAUCCCUGUGAAUGAGAACAGAAUUGGACCUUUGUAUGAACAAACAUUUCCUCCCUCUCUCGCUCCAUCCCUUUCUUUCGUUGGGAUUCCAAACAAGUUUGCAUUGUUUCGAUUUCUUGAGUCACAAGCGAGAUGGAUAGCUCAGGUGCUCUCUGGGAAGAGGAAGCUGCCGUCCGCAGACGAGAUGAUGAAGGCAAUUGAAGAAAUUCAACACCUUCAAGAGAUCGAGGAAGCAAAAGAUAUCAUACAAGUAGCUGCUGAAACAUUGGAGCAAAUGCCGAUGGAUUGCCAUGCCUCGUGUGCGCACCGUGUGCACGACUGUGGGUGGCAGGUGCAAAUGGAUUGUGAGAUCAAGGGAGAGGAGAACUGAUGAUGGUGAGUUCGUGGAAGAGAUCUUUGAAGCGGUUGUCGUCGCCACCGGCAAUUUCUCCCUGCCCAGGAUUCCAAAAAUCAGGGGAAUGGAGUGGAAGAGGAAGCAGUUUCACAGCCAUGUCUACAAAGUGCCACAUCCAUUCCAAAAUGAGGAGGUGGUGGUCGUUGGUGGUGCAAUCAGUGGACCAGAGAUUGCUCAGGUGCUUCUUCAUGUAGCCAAAGAAGUCCAUAAAAGUACUAAACACCCUAGGAUGAUGUUCCAAUCGACAGUCCCGAACCGAGGAUUUCAUGCAAAUUGAUAGCAGUUCAUGCUGAAUUACAGAAAACAAAACCCGUGGAGGAACCGCAAAAACUUUUAAGAGCAAGGGGCACAAGGAUAUCAAAGGUGGAUCAAGAUAGUGGGAGGCAUGAUGUGUGGGGAAUACCAGAGGUUUGCUAGCUUAAGUUGUUUUAUUACUUUUAUUCUUGCUUGGAUUGAUGAACUAAUUUGUCUACAUA
This is an RNA transcript of Zingiber officinale, 2164 nucleotides long. It is a transcript of the gene named flavin-containing monooxygenase FMO GS-OX-like 8, with no coding region annotated. The transcript is spliced from 10 exons. The record is from RefSeq and is a predicted model, not a curated record. NCBI's taxonomy places the organism in Eukaryota, Viridiplantae, Streptophyta, Magnoliopsida, Zingiberales, Zingiberaceae.